AAACUGGUUCAUUAGCAGACGGCAAAAAAUGAUUGCAGAAUUAGGCAAAAAGUUUAAAUGCAAUUGAAGUCGGUAGAGAUGGCGUUGUCCCACGCGGUCGAAACAAAAAUUUGGAUUCGAAUUGGAUUUUGACAAGAGCUACCUAACAGAAUGUACCAUACGUUAGAACCUGAGACGUUUUUGAAAGCAUUGUGCCCAUUACGUACGAACGGUGUAAUGAGACGACAUAGUCCAGCUGGGAAAAGUAAAGCUUCUUCUAACUUAGAAAGGCAAAGAUAAGAACAGAUUGUACCUAGUCGGAGUAUUUACUUGAGCACUUGCACAUUAUCAGCGCCAACAAAUUGCAUGUUUUACGAUAGUGAAAUUUGUGUGCUUUUCCGCAUUAAAAAAUACUCGCAGCGAUUCAGCUAUUCCUUCAGCAUGGCGGGUCCUUUGAAUUUCUUCGCCACUUUCUUGGCUGUCUGGCUGGCGCAAGUGGGUCAAGCGCUGCAUAAAUGAGUAGACACACACGUACACACUCGCAUGCAUACAUCGGACGAGCGAAAAUAAAAGUCAAACGGCAAGAAAGCACUUGAAGCCGGCGGUGUUACACACAUAAAACUACUGCCACAUCGUUUACUAUCGUGUUUGCGGCACACAAAGGCAAGUCAUGCAUUAAUAUAACAGCGGUGAGGGUGUGGUAGUAACAACGCGGA
Long non-coding RNA from Bactrocera oleae (olive fruit fly), 695 nucleotides. RefSeq lists it as uncharacterized. NCBI's taxonomy places the organism in Eukaryota, Metazoa, Arthropoda, Insecta, Diptera, Tephritidae. The record is from RefSeq and is a predicted model, not a curated record.